RNAcentral lists this ribosomal RNA (484 nucleotides) under uncultured bacterium. Its description in RNAcentral is "bacterial SSU rRNA". It matches the Rfam family "Bacterial small subunit ribosomal RNA", at positions 501 to 985 of the family's 1533-position model. The record is from RNAcentral.
CUACGUGCCAGCAGCCGCGGUAAUACGGAAGGUCCAGGCGUUAUCCGGAUUUAUUGGGUUUAAAGGGAGCGUAGGCUGGAGAUUAAGUGUGUUGUGAAAUGUAGACGCUCAACGUCUGAAUUGCAGCGCAUACUGGUUCACUUGAGUAUGCACAACGUAGGCGGAAUUCGUCGUGUAGCGGUGAAAUGCUUAGAUAUGACGAAGAACUCCGAUUGCGAAGGCAGCUUACGGGAGCACAACUGACGCUGAAGCUCGAAGGUGCGGGUAUCAAACAGGAUUAGAUACCCUGGUAGUCCGCACAGUAAACGAUGGAUGCCCGUUGUUAGUUCACUUAAGAAUUAGCGACCAAGCGAAAGCAUUAAGCAUCCCACCUGGGGAGUACGCCGGCAACGGUGAAACUCAAAGGAAUUGACGGGGGCCCGCACAAGCGGAGGAACAUGUGGUUUAAUUCGAUGAUACGCGAGGAACCUUACCCGGGCUUGAA